This is a long non-coding RNA of Oxyura jamaicensis (ruddy duck), 753 nucleotides long. RefSeq lists it as uncharacterized. The record is from RefSeq and is a predicted model, not a curated record. Lineage: Eukaryota; Metazoa; Chordata; Aves; Anseriformes; Anatidae. The transcript has 2 exons.
CCCCGGGGGAGCUCAGCUACUGGAGGGUACCAGCUUGAGAGCAGCAGAAAUGAGGCAUCUUGCUGGUGUCGAGCCUCCAUGGGACCACAGAACCCAGGAGCUGGGGCUUUAAUGCAAGCACCACGUAUCCCAAAGGUGCCAGUGCUACACAUAGCCACACCACGCUUCUAUAGACCAGAAGGCGGGGAAGAAUUUGGUGGAUGCAAUAGCCUGGUGCCUUAUUUUUAGCAUGAAGCUGUGGAGCAGCAGUGGUUUGAGUUCUGGUUGCCACUUCCCUUUCGGUGUUUGCACCCAGGAAAAUAAAAACCUGUGAGAUAGACUAAGGUGCUGUCACCCCGUGCUCUUGAAGACUUCACUAGCACCCAGCAACCAGAUGAAGGACAGACUCCUUCCAAACCCAGCAUGGAAAUCAGGCAGGUGACCCCACAACAUGGAGAGUUUUGUGCUGGUUUUGUGGGUCCACAAUGACGGGAGAUGAAGCUAAAGACAAAGGGCUUUUUAUUUUUCCCACCAGCCGCAGCAGGAUUCAAAAACCCAGCUCCGAACACCAAAAACCCCACAAUCCCAAAGACGUAUAGGGCAUUCCCUUGCCAAGCACCUUCCCCCAGCAUCCCUGCACCGUGCUGACGUGGAUCACGCGCUCCCAGUGCAGCCCUCCUGCCAUAGCAGGGCUGUGGGGAUGGAGGUUGAUGGGAGGGCUUAAUUAAUCAGUUAAUUAAUCCCAAACAUUUUAACCCUCCAAAUCUCUGCUGC